Molecule: ribosomal RNA, 497 nt
Filed under: uncultured bacterium
Lineage: Bacteria
Description: partial 16S ribosomal RNA
Rfam family: Bacterial small subunit ribosomal RNA
Source: RNAcentral
GAUGAACGCUGGCGGCGUGCCUAAUACAUGCAAGUCGAGCGAACAGAUGAGGAGCUUGCUCCUCUGACGUUAGCGGCGGACGGGUGAGUAACACGUGGAUAACCUACCUAUAAGACUGGGAUAACUUCGGGAAACCGGAGCUAAUACCGGAUAAUAUAUUGAACCGCAUGGUUCAAUAGUGAAAGACGGUUUUGCUGUCACUUAUAGGUGGAUCCGCGCCGCAUUAGCUAGUUGGUAAGGUAACGGCUUAACAAGGCAACGAUGCGUAGCCGACCUGAGAGGGUGAUCGGCCACACUGGAACUGAGACACGGUCCAGACUCCUACGGGAGGCAGCAGUAGGGAAUCUUCCGCAAAGGGCGAAAGCCUGACGGAGCAACGCCGCGUGAGUGAUGAAGGUCUUCGGAUCGUAAAACUCUGUUAUUAGGGAAGAACAAAUGUGUAAGUAACUAUGCACGUCUUGACGGUACCUAAUCAGAAAGCCACGGCUAACUACGUG